AGGCAAUAUUGUUGACCAAAGCCAGGACAAGGACACUCUCUAAAGCCUGACAGGCAGAUUCUUGCUGCUCUGGGUCCUUGGAUGCAAGGAACGGAUGGAUGAUUCUCGUCUUUGACAAGUACAAGCGCCAGAGAAGAAAAAGAAAUAUUUAAUUUCAGAGAGCCGCAAGGGACCUUAGAAGUCCUCUGUGUAGCCAAAGACUUCCAAGUGGAGUGAUUCAUGUCUACCGGCUGUAGGGGUACAGAGGCUUCUUUGAUUUCACUUGCCCAUUGAACCCCAACACCACAUUAAGUGCCUAGAGCAUAGCAGAUUCCAGUAGUAACAAGGAUGCAGAAAAGAAGGAAUGGUGCUCACUUUGAGAAAUUACAAUCAGAUACAGCACUUUCUCUGGUGUCCAAGUCUGUUUUGUCAUCCGCCAACUCCUUGCUCACCUGUACCGCUACCCUGGUUCCCCAUGGGUUGUAGGACUGACUGAGUCCAUCCGUGGCAUGUAGGGAAGAUAAAGUUUACCUUAGUAAGGACUGACCAUGAAUCAAGUGUUUCUUGCUUAUCAGUGGCUACAAGGGUGCAAAUCUCAGAGCCUGUAAGCAGUACCUGCCUGCUCUGUUCACUACUGUCACUCCACUCUUUCUCUACUAUACUACGCAAAGAAGCUCAGCAGGUAUGCGUCAGAUG
Molecule: long non-coding RNA, 675 nt
Organism: Mus pahari (shrew mouse)
Lineage: Eukaryota; Metazoa; Chordata; Mammalia; Rodentia; Muridae
Exons: 3
Source: RefSeq, a predicted model, not a curated record